CUAUUUUUACUUUUGCUAGCUUUUUCUUUUAAAAUUUAUAUGUUCAAAUUGAAAUCAAAUUUAUCAACAAGCUUAUUUACAUGUAUAUAGUGAUCUUCUUUCAAAUCUAGUGUACUAUUAGACCCAACAAAAUACAACAACCAAUGAAAAAUAAUAAAUCAAUGGAAAUAUGCGACCUUGAAGAGGAAAAUCAUACACAAAGCAGUGGAAAAGGAGAUAAUAAUGUUAAUAAUAAUAAUGAAAUAAUUGAGAUGGACAUGAUUUCAAAAUCAGAAAUGUUAACUAAAAUAAGAAGGAAAGACAUUGAUAUUGAAUUUAAAGCUCCAGAAAAAGCAAGAUAUGGGAUGAUUUCUUAACAAUUUAUUAU
Long non-coding RNA from Gordionus sp. m RMFG-2023, 367 nucleotides. RefSeq lists it as uncharacterized. The record is from RefSeq and is a predicted model, not a curated record. The transcript is spliced from 3 exons. NCBI's taxonomy places the organism in Eukaryota, Metazoa, Nematomorpha, Gordioida, Chordodea, Parachordodidae.